AACGAACGCUGGCGGCGCGUCUUAAGCAUGCAAGUCGAACGGCAAGGAAGUGCUUGCACUUCCCUAGAGUGGCGGACUGGUGAGUAACACGUGGGUGACAUACCUUUUAGUUGGGGAUAGCUAUUAGAAAUAGUAGAUAAUACCGAAUGUGACCAUUACAGUUAGAGUGUAAUGAGGAAAGGAGCUAAGGCUCCGCUAGAAGAUUGGCCCGCGGCCCAUUAGCUAGUUGGUGAGGUAACGGCCCACCAAGGCAAUGAUGGGUAUCCGGCCUGAGAGGGUGAUCGGACACACUGGAACUGAGACACGGUCCAGACUCCUACGGGAGGCAGCAGUGGGGAAUAUUGGGCAAUGGGCGAAAGCCUUACCCAGCAAUGCCGCGUGUAUGAAGAAGGUCUUCGGAUUGUAAAGUACUAUAUUGGGGAAGAACACAAAUGAACGGUACCCAAGAGAAAAAGCCCCGGCUAACCUAUGUG
RNAcentral lists this ribosomal RNA (473 nucleotides) under uncultured bacterium. RNAcentral describes it as "bacterial SSU rRNA". It matches the Rfam family "Bacterial small subunit ribosomal RNA", at positions 29 to 507 of the family's 1533-position model. The record is from RNAcentral.